AUUAAAAGAACAGCGAGCUAACAAGUGCGAAAGUGAGAGAAAGACAUAAAAGAGAAUGAAAGCCUGUUAAAGUUGAGCUGUGCUGUAAGGCGUAAACUGACGCACGUGUGUUCAAUGUCAAUGUGUGUGUAUGUGUGUGUGUGUGUGUGAAGCUGAUUUUGUGUGCGUGUUUGCCUGCUUUAGUAAAUAAACCAAAAUGGCAGCCACGGGCGGUAUUUAUAUGCUCAAACAAACACACACACACACUAACACAGCUUUGUUAAAGAGUUGACUGUGUAUAUACUGUUAAUUAACCUGACGUCAGUCGCUGGCAUUGGUCAGCCCUCUCCUUGCCGAACGCUUGUUAACCAAUUCGAACGGAAAUCCUGUGCUCUUCCAUUGGCCUCAAGUUGACUCGAAGACUUUCGCCUCGAGCACUUGGCUAUUUGCAUAUGUACAUAAUAGAUUGUAUAAGUGGGCAUAGUUCUGCUUUUUGUUAAAUAACUUAUUCACUUAGCCGUAUUAAUGCCGCAGCAUUAGAAGAG
Drosophila arizonae is the source of this 524-nucleotide long non-coding RNA. The record is from RefSeq and is a predicted model, not a curated record. NCBI's taxonomy places the organism in Eukaryota, Metazoa, Arthropoda, Insecta, Diptera, Drosophilidae.